Molecule: long non-coding RNA, 841 nt
Filed under: Cricetulus griseus (Chinese hamster)
Lineage: Eukaryota; Metazoa; Chordata; Mammalia; Rodentia; Cricetidae
Description: lncRNA (ENSCGRG00015030143.1)
Source: RNAcentral
GUUCCCACCCACAUCAGUUGUAUCUCUUCUCACUUGAGUCCCAGGAGACCCCAGAGAAGUCACCUAUGAAAGAGCACACCACUCUUUCAUCUUAUACAACUGUGUCUCUGCCUGGCCCACAACAGUAUUUAAUGAAGAUUCUGGAAUUUAGUGAAUGAAUCACUUCAUUCCCGGCACCAUCUUGCUGUUGGCCCUAGUUUAUUCUCUCACUGGGGAACUUGAGCUGCUGUAGGUUUCUUGGGCAGGCUUUGAGGCUCAAGUCCAGGAUCCAAGAAGCUUGACAGCAAGAGUGAACAAUUCCCAGAUGAGUGAUCCACAGCAGCAAGUGGCAAGGUCCAGACAGUUAGCAUGAGUCCUCGAUCUGCAGAGAUUCUGAGUGUUGAAGAUCUGCCAAGGCAGCUCUAGAUGGUUGUGAGUGAGCAGUGGGAAGAAGCCCAGGUUGUCUGCACUGGGUGUGAAUGGAAGGAUUUGGAGCUUUGGGCUGGAAGAUUUUAUUCGGAGAACCCUGGACAAAAUCGCAGGAGCUAAGGAAUGGGAGUUCCCAGAAUGGCUUCAACCUGUCCACUGUAAUAUUCCCAAUAUACACAUCAUAUAAACCAUGAUGGCACAUGCUCAUGAUCCCAGCACUCAGCGGGUAGAUGCAGGAGGAUCAAAAGUUUAAGGUCAACCUUGGCUACUUAAUGAGUUGGAGGCCAGUGUGGACUACUUGAGAUUCUGGACUACUCUUUGGCUAUCUCUUUGACUUAUACAGAAAUGACUGGGCAUAUACGCAAAAGAAGCACAUUCAUAUAACAAGGACAUAUGUUCAACCAUGUUCAUAGCAGCAUUAUUUGUAUGUAAU